RNAcentral lists this ribosomal RNA (668 nucleotides) under Cortinarius bolaris. RNAcentral describes it as "eukaryotic LSU rRNA". The stretch from base 272 to 425 matches the Rfam family "5.8S ribosomal RNA". Lineage: Eukaryota; Fungi; Basidiomycota; Agaricomycetes; Agaricales; Cortinariaceae. The record is from RNAcentral.
AGGUGAACCUGCGGAAGGAUCAUUAUUGAAAUAAACUUGAUGGGUUGCUGCUGGUUCCCUAAGGAACAUGUGCACACUUGUCAUCUUUAUAUCUCCACCUGUGCACCUUUUGUAGACCUGAAUAGCUUUCUGAAUGCUAAGCAUUCAGGCUUGAGGAUUGACUUAUAUUUUUGUCUCUCCUUACUUUUACAGGUCUAUGUUUCUUUAUAUAUACCCCUAAUCUAUGUUAUAGAAUGUAUAUAAAUGGGUGUUUAUGCCUAUAAACUUAUACAACUUUCAGCAACGGAUCUCUUGGCUCUCGCAUCGAUGAAGAACGCAGCGAAAUGCGAUAAGUAAUGUGAAUUGCAGAAUUCAGUGAAUCAUCGAAUCUUUGAACGCACCUUGCGCUCCUUGGUAUUCCGAGGAGCAUGCCUGUUUGAGUGUCAUUAAUAUAUCAACCUCUUCAGCUUUUGGUUGUUGAGUGUUUGGAUGUGGGGGGUUGUUUGCUGGUCUCUAGGAGGUCAGCUCCCCUAAAAUGCAUUAGCGAAACAAUUUGUUGAUCGUUCAUUGGUGUGAUAACUAUCUACGCUAUUGACGUGAGGCAGUUUAGCUUCUAACAGUCCAUUGUCUUGGACAAUUUUUUUCAUUAAUGUGACCUCAAAUCAGGUAGGACUACCCGCUGAACUUAA